This 69-nucleotide transfer RNA is filed under the name Magallana gigas (Pacific oyster). Its description in RNAcentral is "tRNA-Asp". Lineage: Eukaryota; Metazoa; Mollusca; Bivalvia; Ostreida; Ostreidae. The record is from RNAcentral. RNAcentral also lists the same sequence under 2 other names.
AGACAGUUAGUAUAGCAAAUAAUACGUUAGUUUGUCGUACUAAAGACACUUUUAUGCGAGUACUGUCUU